CAGGCGAUUGCAUUGGCUGUGGUGUCGCCCGCUCGAUCGACUGAACUGUUAUGGCUGGAGUGAACGUGACUGACGCGAUCAGCUUGAAGGUCCGAGAUCCUGUGUGACACACUUCCCUGAAAGUGUCUACAGUUGGCUGACUGUCCUCGGAGGCCAAGAAGUGCAGAGCUAGCAGUCAGGCCUCUGCAGCAGAAGUAUGGACCUGGGAAAGAGCAGGAACUGCCCCCUCCUCCCCCACCGCCCCAUGAAUCGUCCAGCACACGAACCCAUUCCAGACAUCAGCUGUCUUCCUCCACUUCACCACAGCACAGGAUCACCCUGCCCCAGGAAUGUAGCACUCAAAAUGAAGGUGAAUCCUCAUGUAUCAAUUAAUGUGAUCAAGAAGCGCAUCCUUUCCUAAUGCUGCCGAUGAGGCGCGGUGUGCUGGCAAGCACGGCACAGGAAGAUGUACCUGGCACCCGAGGAGGUCAGAAGACAGCAUCAGACACCCUGGAACUGGAGUUACAGCUGGUUUUAAGUCACCAUCUAGGUGUUGGUAACUGAGCCCAGGUCCUCUGGAAGAGCAUCAAGUAUAUGGUCUUAGCUACUGAGCCAUCUUUCCAUGCCCACAUAUUGUAUCUUUAAAAUCAAAUGCAGAUAAAAAUCAAGACCAA
Mus caroli (Ryukyu mouse) is the source of this 653-nucleotide long non-coding RNA. RefSeq lists it as uncharacterized. The record is from RefSeq and is a predicted model, not a curated record. Lineage: Eukaryota; Metazoa; Chordata; Mammalia; Rodentia; Muridae.